GUCUACCACCAUACCACCAUGAACGCACCCAAUCUCAUCUUGAUCUCAGAAGCUAAACAGGGUCGGGCCUGGUUAGUACUUGGAUGGGAGAAAACUGUCUUCAUUCACA
This is a ribosomal RNA of Cercocebus atys (sooty mangabey), 109 nucleotides long. NCBI's taxonomy places the organism in Eukaryota, Metazoa, Chordata, Mammalia, Primates, Cercopithecidae. The record is from Ensembl.